This 468-nucleotide ribosomal RNA is filed under the name uncultured bacterium. RNAcentral's name for it is "partial 16S ribosomal RNA". It matches the Rfam family "Bacterial small subunit ribosomal RNA", at positions 28 to 507 of the family's 1533-position model. The record is from RNAcentral.
GACGAACGCUGGCGGCGUGCUUAACACAUGCAAGUCGAACGGAAAGGCCCUGCUUUUGUGGGGUGCUCGAGUGGCGAACGGGUGAGUAACACGUGAGUAACCUGCCCUUGACUUUGGGAUAACUUCAGGAAACUGGGGCUACUACCGGAUAGGAGCUCCUGCUGCAUGGUGGGGGUUGGAAAGUUUCGGCGGUUGGGGAUGGACUCGCGGCUUAUCAGCUUGUUGGUUGGGUAGUGGCUUACCAAGUCUUUGACGGGUAGCCGGCCUGAGAGGGUGACCGGCCACAUUGGGACUGAGAGAAGGCCAAGACUCCUACGUGAGGCAGCAGGGGGAAAUAGUGCACAAUGAGCGGAGGCCUGAUGCAGCAACGCCGCGUGCGGGAGGACGGCCUGCGGGUUGGAACCCGCUUGCGCCUGGGAGGAAGCGUGAGUGACGGUAAUGGGUAAAGAAGCACCGGGUAACUACGUG